This 440-nucleotide ribosomal RNA is filed under the name uncultured bacterium. RNAcentral describes it as "bacterial SSU rRNA". It matches the Rfam family "Bacterial small subunit ribosomal RNA", at positions 43 to 526 of the family's 1533-position model. The record is from RNAcentral.
CAGGCCUAACACAUGCAAGUCGAACGCUCACCUUCGGGUGGGAGUGGCAGACGGGUGAGUAACACGUGGGAACGUGCCCUCCGGUCUGGGAUAACUCAUGGAAACGUGAGCUAAUACCGGAUACGUGCUUAGGCAGAAAGGUUUACUGCCGGAGGAUCGGCCCGCGUCUGAUUAGCUAGUUGGUGGGGUAACGGCCUACCAAGGCGACGAUCAGUAGCUGGUCUGAGAGGAUGAUCAGCCACACUGGGACUGAGACACGGCCCAGACUCCUACGGGAGGCAGCAGUGGGGAAUAUUGGGCAAUGGGCGCAAGCCUGAUCCAGCCAUGCCGCGUGAGUGAUGACGGCCUUAGGGUUGUAAAGCUCUUUUCUCCGGGACGAUAAUGACGGUACCGGAGGAAUAAGCCCCGGCUAACUUCGUGCCAGCAGCCGCGGUAAUAAU